This 492-nucleotide ribosomal RNA is filed under the name uncultured bacterium. Its description in RNAcentral is "partial 16S ribosomal RNA". It matches the Rfam family "Bacterial small subunit ribosomal RNA", at positions 29 to 507 of the family's 1533-position model. The record is from RNAcentral.
AGUGAACGCUGGCGGUAGGCCUAACACAUGCAAGUCGAACGGCAGCACAGUAAGAGCUUGCUCUUACGGGUGGCGAGUGGCGGACGGGUGAGGAAUACAUCGGAAUCUACUUUUUCGUGGGGGAUAACGUAGGGAAACUUACGCUAAUACCGCAUACGACCUACGGGUGAAAGCAGGGGAUCUUCGGACCUUGCGCGAUUGAAUGAGCCGAUGUCGGAUUAGCUAGUUGGCGGGGUAAAGGCCCACCAAGGCGACGAUCCGCAGCUGGUCUGAGAGGAUGAUCAGCCACACUGGAACUGAGACACGGUCCAGACUCCUACGGGAGGCAGCAGUGGGGAAUAUUGGACAAUGGGCGGAAGCCUGAUCCAGCCAUACCGCGUGGGUGAAGAAGGCCUUCGGGUUGUAAAGCCCUUUUGUUGGGAAAGAAAAGCAGCAGGUUAAUACCCCGCUGUUCUGACGGUACCCAAAGAAUAAGCACCGGCUAACUUCGUG